AACGAACGCUGGCGGCAGGCCUAACACAUGCAAGUCGAGCGAGGACUUCGGUUCUAGCGGCGGACGGGUGAGUAACGCGUGGGAAUGUGCCCUUCUCUACGGAAUAGCCCUGGGAAACUGGGAGUAAUACCGUAUACGCCCUUUUGGGGAAAGAUUUAUCGGAGAAGGAUCAGCCCGCGUUGGAUUAGGUAGUUGGUGGGGUAAUGGCCUACCAAGCCGACGAUCCAUAGCUGGUUUGAGAGGAUGAUCAGCCACACUGGGACUGAGACACGGCCCAGACUCCCCCGGGGGGCCGCAGGGGGGAAUCUUAGACAAGGGGGGCAACCCUAAUCUAGCCAUGCCGGGGGAGUGAGGAAGGCCUUAGGGUUAUAAAGCUCUUUCAGCGGGGAAGAUAAUGACGGAACCAGCAGAAGGAGCCCCGGCAAACCCCGU
RNAcentral lists this ribosomal RNA (432 nucleotides) under uncultured bacterium. RNAcentral describes it as "partial 16S ribosomal RNA". It matches the Rfam family "Bacterial small subunit ribosomal RNA", at positions 29 to 506 of the family's 1533-position model. The record is from RNAcentral.